Molecule: ribosomal RNA, 342 nt
Filed under: uncultured bacterium
Lineage: Bacteria
Description: partial 16S ribosomal RNA
Rfam family: Bacterial small subunit ribosomal RNA
Source: RNAcentral
CCUGGCUCAGGACGAACGCUGGCGGCGUGCCUAAUACAUGCAAGUCGAACGAACCGCGACUGAGUGCUUGCACUUGGUCAAGGUGAGUGGCGAACGGGUGAGUAACACGUGGGUAACCUACCUCAUAGUGGGGGAUAACAGUCGGAAACGACUGCUAAUACCGCAUAGGACAUAGGAUCACAUGAUCCAGUGAGGAAAGGUGGCGCAAGCUAUCGCUAAGAGAUGGACCCGCGGUGCAUUAGCUAGUUGGUAGGGUAAAGGCCUACCAAGGCGAUGAUGCAUAGCCGACCUGGGGGGGGGGGGGGGCGCAUUGGGACUGAGACACGGCCCAAACUCCUACGG